GACGGAGCACGCCGCGUGAGUGAUGAAGGUUUUCGGAUCGUAAAGCUCUGUUGCCAGGGAAGAACGCCUAGGAGAGUAACUGCUCCUAGGGUGACGGUACCUGAGAAGAAAGCCCCGGCUAACUACGUGCCAGCAGCCGCGGUAAUACGUAGGGGGCGAGCGUUGUCCGGAAUUAUUGGGCGUAAAGCGCGCGCAGGCGGCAAUGUAAGUUGGGUGUUUAAACCUAGGGCUCAACCUUGGGUCGCAUCCAAAACUGCAUAGCUUGAGUACAGAAGAGGAAAGUGGAAUUCCACGUGUAGCGGUGAAAUGCGUAGAGAUGUGGAGGAACACCAGUGGCGAAGGCGACUUUCUGGGCUGUAACUGACGCUGAGGCGCGA
Molecule: ribosomal RNA, 377 nt
Filed under: Paenibacillus alvei
Lineage: Bacteria; Bacillati; Bacillota; Bacilli; Caryophanales; Paenibacillaceae
Description: bacterial SSU rRNA
Rfam family: Bacterial small subunit ribosomal RNA
Source: RNAcentral